This 481-nucleotide ribosomal RNA is filed under the name uncultured bacterium. Its description in RNAcentral is "partial 16S ribosomal RNA". It matches the Rfam family "Bacterial small subunit ribosomal RNA", at positions 28 to 507 of the family's 1533-position model. The record is from RNAcentral.
GAUGAACGCUGGCGGCGUGCUUAACACAUGCAAGUCGAACGAAGCACUUUAUUUGAUUUCCUUCGGGACUGAUUAUUUUGUGACUGAGUGGCGGACGGGUGAGUAACGCGUGGGUAACCUGCCUUGUACAGGGGGAUAACAGUUAGAAACGGCUGCUAAUACCGCAUAAGCGCACAGCAUCGCAUGAUGCAGUGUGAAAAACUCCGGUGGUAUAAGAUGGACCCGCGUUGGAUUAGCUAGUUGGUGAGGUAACGGCCCACCAAGGCGACGAUCCAUAGCCGACCUGAGAGGGUGACCGGCCACAUUGGGACUGAGACACGGCCCAAACUCCUACGGGAGGCAGCAGUGGGGAAUAUUGCACAAUGGGCGAAAGCCUGAUGCAGCGACGCCGCGUGAGCGAAGAAGUAUUUCGGUAUGUAAAGCUCUAUCAGCAGGGAAGAUAAUGACGGUACCUGACUAAGAAGCACCGGCUAAAUACGUG